UACGUAGGGUGCGAGCGUUAAUCGGAAUUACUGGGCGUAAAGCGUGCGCAGGCGGUGAUGUAAGACCGAUGUGAAAUCCCCGGGCUUAACCUGGGAACUGCAUUGGUGACUGCAUUGCUGGAGUAUGGCAGAGGGGGAUGGUAUUCCGCGUGUAGCAGUGAAAUGCGUAGAUAUGCGGAGGAACACCGAUGGCGAAGGCAAUCCCCUGGGCCUGCACUGACGCUCAUGCACGAAAGCGUGGGGAGCAAACAGG
Molecule: ribosomal RNA, 253 nt
Filed under: uncultured bacterium
Lineage: Bacteria
Description: partial 16S ribosomal RNA
Rfam family: Bacterial small subunit ribosomal RNA
Source: RNAcentral